CGGGGCGUGGCGCAGUCUGGUAGCGCGCCUGCUUUGGGAGCAGGAAGUCGAGUGUUCAAAUCACUCCGCCCCGACCA
RNAcentral lists this transfer RNA (77 nucleotides) under Desulfobacterales bacterium. RNAcentral's name for it is "tRNA-Pro". It matches the Rfam family "tRNA". Rfam says of the family: Transfer RNA (tRNA) molecules are approximately 80 nucleotides in length. The record is from RNAcentral. Lineage: Bacteria; Pseudomonadati; Thermodesulfobacteriota; Desulfobacteria; Desulfobacterales.